RNAcentral lists this ribosomal RNA (496 nucleotides) under uncultured bacterium. RNAcentral describes it as "partial 16S ribosomal RNA". It matches the Rfam family "Bacterial small subunit ribosomal RNA", at positions 29 to 507 of the family's 1533-position model. The record is from RNAcentral.
AUGAACGCUGGCGGCGUGCCUAAUACAUGCAAGUCGAGCGAACGGACGAGAAGCUUGCUUCUCUGAUGUUAGCGGCGGACGGGUGAGUAACACGUGGAUAACCUACCUAUAAGACUGGGAUAACUUCGGGAAACCGGAGCUAAUACCGGAUAAUAUUUUGAACCGCAUGGUUCAAAAGUAAAAGACGGUCUUGCUGUCACUUAUAGAUGGAUCCGCGCUGCAUUAGCUAGUUGGUAAGGUAACGGCUUACCAAGGCAACGAUGCAUAGCCGACCUGAGAUGGUGAUCGGCCACACUGGAACUGAGACACGGUCCAACCUCCUACGGGAGGCAGCAGUAGGGAAUCUUCCGCAAUGGGCGAAAGCCUGACGGAGCAACGCCGCGUGAGUGAUGAAGGUCUUCGGAUCGUAAAACUCUGUUAUUAGGGAAGAACAUAUGUGUAAGUAACUGUGCACAUCUUGACGGUACCUAAUCAGAAAGCCACGGCUAACUACGUG